UCGUACAACCGAGGCGCGAGGGCUGUCGCUGACCUUCAAAGGUCGUGCACGCUCGAGCGCUCUCGCACAAUCCAUCUCACCCCUUUGUGCAUCACCGCGUGGGUCUCCCCCUUUGCGGGGGGAGGUUCGCGUUUUAACACAAAACUUGAUACGGUCUAGAAUGUUCAUUUUUGCGGUCACACGCAAUCAAUA
RNAcentral lists this unclassified non-coding RNA (192 nucleotides) under uncultured fungus. RNAcentral's name for it is "sequence contains ITS1, 5.8S rRNA gene". The record is from RNAcentral. Lineage: Eukaryota; Fungi.